This 335-nucleotide unclassified non-coding RNA is filed under the name soil metagenome. RNAcentral's name for it is "partial contains 5.8S ribosomal RNA, internal transcribed spacer 2, and large subunit ribosomal RNA". The stretch from base 1 to 120 matches the Rfam family "5.8S ribosomal RNA", at positions 35 to 154 of the family's 154-position model. The record is from RNAcentral.
GAUGAAGAACGUAGCGAAAUGCGAUAAGUAAUGUGAAUUGCAGAAUUCAGUGAAUCAUCGAAUCUUUGAACGCACAUUGCGCCCGCCAGUAUUCUGGCGGGCAUGCCUGUUCGAGCGUCAUUUCAACCCUUAAGCCCUGUUGCUUAGCGUUGGGAGCCUACAGUACUGUAGCUCCCCAAAGUUAGUGGCGGAGUCGGUUUCACACUCUAGACGUAGUAAUUUUUUCUCGUCUGUAGUUGAGCCGGUCCCCUGCCGUAAAACACCCAAUUUAUCAAGGUUGACCUCGGAUCAGGUAGGAAUACCCGCUGAACUUAAGCAUAUCAAUAAGCGGAGGA